CGAUCGAGCUACUCAUUUAAUCGUAGCAGCUCUUGAUCCGUUGGUGAAAUAUCGAAAAUCGAGUUAAAAUGCGCGCUUUAAUUUGGAGUUUAAAAUUUUUACUAUUUUGCAUUUUCGUCACUUCAGUGCAGCCACAACAAACGAGUAAAAGUUCCACUGAGAAUCCAAAUAAGUAUAUUAUGGAAAGUGUGCUCACCAUCGAGCCGCAAUGUGGCCCUGGCUAUGUUUCAAUAAACAGUCGUUGCCACAAGAGCGCAUAGCUGCUUAUGUUCAAGUAAAGAAGAUGUUACUCGUAUACUGUAUAUGUAUGUGUAAAGCAUAAGUGAGAGAUAAGAAUAUAAUUCUGAAGUAAUCCACGGCAUCUCCGAAUGUGCCUCAAGUCUACCCACGAAACAGCAGGGUAUCAUACAUAUUUCAGUGUCAAACGGAGGGACGCAAGUUAAAACCGCAUUUAGAAGUAGUUUUUGUUUGAAAUAUUUAAAUACGUAAAAUGUUUCAAAAUAGAAAUUAAUAAAAAUAUAAAUGGUUUUGUCUAUUUUA
Molecule: long non-coding RNA, 540 nt
Organism: Anastrepha obliqua
Lineage: Eukaryota; Metazoa; Arthropoda; Insecta; Diptera; Tephritidae
Exons: 2
Source: RefSeq, a predicted model, not a curated record